UUCCAUCGCGUCAAGUUUUGCCUUUUCUAGAGUGUAAGUUCUUCUGGGAGAAUCAUGGACUGCAGAUCUUUAACAUCAAUAUGCAGAUUUGUGGGGAAGCUGCAAUUCUCAUCGGUCACAAGAAUAGCAAUUCUGAGAAUGGUUCUGCCUGGAAGCUUGAAUUUUAUUUUUUGUUCCUGCCCAGGUGAAAUAGGAUCCCCUAUUGGGGGACCAUAGAUAGCCCCAAAUUGAUCAUGCAACGUUAUUGUCUGGCUAGUAUUGUUCUUCAAUGAAAAUAUUGCUUCCUUCCCAUGCGAGAUGCCCAUUAGAAUUUCAAACACUCAAGAAGAAGAUUAUAGAGAGAAACAAUAAGUCAUUUUCAAGCAAUCCCAUAGACACUCAGGACACUCACCAAAUUAACUUCUGCCCUUGUUUGCCCACUCCAUUUAUGUGUAGUGUUGAUGUUUU
This 447-nucleotide long non-coding RNA is filed under the name Selaginella moellendorffii. Its description in RNAcentral is "long non-coding RNA (SMOE_LNC001697)". Lineage: Eukaryota; Viridiplantae; Streptophyta; Lycopodiopsida; Selaginellales; Selaginellaceae. The record is from RNAcentral.